AUGGCUACCCUUAGACCCCUCGUGAAGCCCAAGAUCAUCUAAGAUGGACCAAGAAGUUUAUCCUUCACCAGUCAGACUGACAUAUCAAAAUUAGAUGUACGCAUAUAGCAGCAACCCAGAGGCAUUGACAACAGGGUGGGGAGAAAAAUCAAAGGCGAGACCUUGAUCCCCAACAUUGGUUGUGGGAGCAAAAAGAAGCAAAACACAUGCUCCCCAGUGGCUUCCAAAAAUUCCUGUUCCACGAUGUCAAAGAGCUGGAAGUGCUGCUGAUGUGCAACAAAUCUUACUGUGCUGAGAUUGCUCAACAUGCUUCUCCAAGAACGGUUAAAGCCACUGUGGAGAGAGUAACCCGACAGCCCAGCAGAGUCACUAGUCCCAAUGCCAGGCUGCACAGCAAGAAAAAUUAA
RNAcentral lists this long non-coding RNA (407 nucleotides) under Homo sapiens (human). RNAcentral's name for it is "non-protein coding lnc-RNF13-6:5". Lineage: Eukaryota; Metazoa; Chordata; Mammalia; Primates; Hominidae. The record is from RNAcentral.